CACCCUCCAAGCUCUGCUUGAUGUUGGACGCUGUGUUUAGGCACACGUCUGGAACUUGUAGGCGUCCGUUCUGUCGAGACACCGCGAGCGUAGCAAGACUUUUUGUCAUUUUCGCUUCUGUCGGGACUCCAGCGGACCGCCCUUACGAUUAGGGAGUCAACCCCCUAAUCAUUUUCAAGA
This 180-nucleotide unclassified non-coding RNA is filed under the name uncultured Sympoventuriaceae. RNAcentral's name for it is "sequence contains ITS2". The record is from RNAcentral. Lineage: Eukaryota; Fungi; Ascomycota; Dothideomycetes; Venturiales.